UGCGCAGGCGGAACUUUAAGUCAGUGGUGAAAUCUUGCCGCUUAACGGUAAAAUUGCCAUUGAUACUGAAGUUCUUGAAUAUGGUUGAGGUAGGCGGAAUGUGUUGUGUAGCGGUGAAAUGCAUAGAUAUGACACAGAACGCCAAUUGCGAAGGCAGCUUACUAAGCCAUUAUUGACGCUGAGGCACGAAAGCGUGGGGAGCGAACAGGAUUAGAUACCCUGGUAGUCC
This 229-nucleotide ribosomal RNA is filed under the name uncultured bacterium. RNAcentral's name for it is "partial 16S ribosomal RNA". It matches the Rfam family "Bacterial small subunit ribosomal RNA", at positions 568 to 796 of the family's 1533-position model. The record is from RNAcentral.